UGGGGAAUUUUGGACAAUGGGGGCAACCCUGAUCCAGCCAUGCCGCGUGAGUGAAGAAGGCCUUCGGGUUGUAAAGCUCUUUCGCGAGGGAAGAAAUUGCACCGGAUAAUACCUGGUGUAGAUGACGGUACCUUGAUAAGAAGCACCGGCUAACUACGUGCCAGCAGCCGCGGUAAUACGUAGGGUGCGAGCGUUAAUCGGAAUUACUGGGCGUAAAGCGUGCGCAGGCGGUUUCGUAAGACAGGCGUGAAAUCCCCGGGCUUAACCUGGGAACUGCGCUUGUGACUGCGAGGCUAGAGUACGGCAGAGGGAGGUAGAAUUCCACGUGUAGCAGUGAAAUGCGUAGAGAUGUGGAGGAAUACCGAUGGCGAAGGCAGCCUCCUGGGCCAGUACUGACGCUCAUGCACGAAAGCGUGGGGAGCAAACAGG
This 429-nucleotide ribosomal RNA is filed under the name uncultured prokaryote. Its description in RNAcentral is "bacterial SSU rRNA". It matches the Rfam family "Bacterial small subunit ribosomal RNA", at positions 355 to 776 of the family's 1533-position model. The record is from RNAcentral. RNAcentral also lists the same sequence under 1 other name.